CCUCGUGAUCUGCCCGACUCGGCCUCCCAAAGUGCUGGGAUUACAGGUGAGAGCCACUGCUCCCAGCCAGAAUUGUCUGUAUUUUCAUCACAAAUUGAUUCUUCAACUUAUUUUAGUUGUGUGGCAUUCAGAUCUAUGUCUUAAACAUUAGCGCUAGGAAUGCACUGUAAACACCUAGCAAGGGUAUAGAUGGGAACCCUCUAGAUCUAGUGAGGGCAAACUCUCUGAGUCAUCUGAUCUCUGGGCUGGCUGCACUGUGGUGAUUUAAAAUGUGAAAUUUUUUGACACUCCUUUCAAAAGAUGAAGCCUAAUUCCUCUCCCCUGGAAUGUGGGCUGGACCUAGUGACAUGUUUCUAACAGCUAGAACAACACAGAAAUGAUGGUGUGUGACACUGGAGAGUAGGUGAUUCAUGGGUAUUACAGCUUCCUGCUUGCCCUCUCUGUCUCUGAGCCCUCCCUCUGCAGGAAGCCCAUGCCGUGUCCUGAGGACGAGCGAGCAGCCCAGUGGAGAGAUCUACCCGGUGAGGAACUGAAACUGCCUGCAGUCGUGUGAGGGAGCCACCAUAGAGGCAGACCCUCCAGCCUGAGUCAAGCCUUCAGAUGACUGCAGAUGACAUCUUGACCACACCUCAGGAUCGAUUCUGAGCCAGAAUCACUCAGCUAAGCCACUCUCACAUUCCUGACUGUCAGAAACUGAGUGACAUAAUGACUCUGUGGUUUUAGGCUGCAAUAUCUGGGAGCAAUUUGUUCAACAGGAGUGGCACCUACCUGAAGUAUUAAUAGUUGUUGAGAGUCACCUUUCUCACCCCUUCAUUUGAUGCCGCUGUUGUGCAACUGCAAACUCCUGUGGAGACGACUUGUCCCAUUGUACACCAGGAUUCACCAUAUAAAAAUGCUAACGUCUGACACACUGGACCACUCAAAGAGAAGACACCAGAGCUGGGGCAGGCGCGGUGGCUGACGGCUGUAAUCCCAGCACUUUGGGAGGCCGAGGCGGGCAGAUGAUGAGGUCAGGAGAUCGAGACCAUCCUGGCCAACAUGAUGCCUUACUCCCCAACACAGGUGUGCGCUCAGUGAGGGCAAGAAUUAUGAUAUAACUAUCCUUAAGUCUCCCAGGAUGGUCACCAGAUGGGAAUAAAUGAAGAAAUGCAAGAAUUUCAAGAGCUACUGGAUGAAAUUGAAGUGCUUCUUGUUUUAGAUUUUUCACCUGCCUUAAUAUUAAUUGCUUCUGGAGGGUGGAGAUGUGUGUAGGACAAGAAUUUCAGGUAGGGGGAAGACAUGAGUAUACAUACACAUACCGCGGCCCCAACAUGUAUGAAAUCUAUAUCAUAUGCAACAUUUACGUAUAAGUAGUAUGUAUAUCCAGGACAUUCAGAAUAAGCUUGUUUACUCUGGGGAGAAAGACUGUGGGGUUGGGAGACAGGGAAAGCCACCUACUUUUCACUGCCUACACUCUUAAUAGUUUUUUUUAUUUUUAUAUUAAGUGCUUGU
Cercocebus atys (sooty mangabey) is the source of this 1491-nucleotide long non-coding RNA. RefSeq lists it as uncharacterized. NCBI's taxonomy places the organism in Eukaryota, Metazoa, Chordata, Mammalia, Primates, Cercopithecidae. The transcript has 3 exons. The record is from RefSeq and is a predicted model, not a curated record.